GUGCCAGCAGCCGCGGUAAUUCCAGCUCCAAUAGCGUAUAUUAAAGUUGUUGCAGUUAGAACGCUCGUAGUCGGAUUUCGGGGCAGUCCGACCGGUCUGCCGAUGGGUAUGCACUGGCCGGAGUGUCCUUUUUGCCGGAGACCGUGCCUACUCUUAACUGAGCGGGGGCGGGAGACGGCACUUUUACUUUGAAAAAAUCAGAGUGUUUCAAGCAGGCAGCUCGCUCUUGCAUGGAUUAGCAUGGGAUAAUGAAAUAGGACUUUGGUGCUAUUUUGUUGGUUUCGAACACCGAAGUAAUGAUGAGAAGGGACAGUCAGGGGCACUCGUAUUCCGCAGAGAGAGGUGAAAUUCUCAGACCCGCGGAAGACGAACCACUGCGAAAGCAUUUGCCAGGGAUGUUUUCACUGAUCAAGAACGAAAGUUAGGGGAUCGAAGAUGAUCAGAUACCGUCGUAGUCUUAACCAUAAACCAUGCCGACUAGGGAUUGGAGGAUGUUCACUGAUUGACUCCUUCAGCACCUUACGGGAAACUAAAGUCUUUGGGUUCCGGGGGGAGUAUGGUCGCAAGGCUGAAACUUAAAGGAAUUGACGGAAGGGCACCACCAGGUGUGGAGCCUGCGGCUUAAUUUGACUCAACACGGGGAAACUUACCAGGUCCAGACAUUGUGAGGAUUAACAGAUUGAGAGCUCUUUCUUGAUUCGAUGGGUGGUGGUGCAUGGCCGUUCUUAGUUGGUGGAGUGAUUUGUCUGGUUAAUUCCGUUAACGAACGAGACCUUAGCCUGCUAAAUAGUGACGCGAACUCUUUGUUGGCGGUCCACUUCUUAGAGGGACAACUUGUCUUCACACAAGUGGAAGUUUGAGGCAAUAACAGGUCUGUGAUGGCCCAGGCGAAUUCGUUAAACUUGCAGACU
This 911-nucleotide ribosomal RNA is filed under the name uncultured eukaryote. Its description in RNAcentral is "SSU rRNA". It matches the Rfam family "Eukaryotic small subunit ribosomal RNA", at positions 564 to 1499 of the family's 1831-position model. The record is from RNAcentral.